Molecule: ribosomal RNA, 481 nt
Filed under: uncultured bacterium
Lineage: Bacteria
Description: partial 16S ribosomal RNA
Rfam family: Bacterial small subunit ribosomal RNA
Source: RNAcentral
AUUGAACGCUGGCGGCAUGCUUUACACAUGCAAGUCGAACGGUAACAGGCCGCAAGGUGCUGACGAGUGGCGAACGGGUGAGUAAUGCAUCGGAACGUGCCCAGUCGUGGGGGAUAACUACUCGAAAGAGUAGCUAAUACCGCAUACGAUCUAUGGAUGAAAGCGGGGGACCGUAAGGCCUCGCGCGAUUGGAGCGGCCGAUGUCAGAUUAGGUAGUUGGUGGGGUAAAGGCUCACCAAGCCAACGAUCUGUAGCUGGUCUGAGAGGACGACCAGCCACACUGGGACUGAGACACGGCCCAGACUCCUACGGGAGGCAGCAGUGGGGAAUUUUGGACAAUGGGCGCAAGCCUGAUCCAGCAAUGCCGCGUGCAGGAAGAAGGCCUUCGGGUUGUAAACUGCUUUUGUACGGAACGAAACGGCUCUGGUUAAUACCCGGGGCUAAUGACGGUACCGUAAGAAUAAGCACCGGCGAACUACGU